RNAcentral lists this ribosomal RNA (373 nucleotides) under uncultured organism. RNAcentral's name for it is "partial 16S ribosomal RNA". It matches the Rfam family "Bacterial small subunit ribosomal RNA", at positions 527 to 896 of the family's 1533-position model. The record is from RNAcentral.
GUAGGUGGCAAGCGUUGUCCGGAAUUAUUGGGCGUAAAGCGCGCGCAGGCGGUUCUUUAAGUCUGAUGUGAAAGCCCACGGCUCAACCGUGGAGGGUCAUUGGAAACUGGAGAACUUGAGUACAGAAGAGGAAAGCGGAAUUCCACGUGUAGCGGUGAAAUGCGUAGAGAUGAGGAGGAACACCAGUGGCGAAGGCGGCUUUCUGGUCUGUAACGGACGCUGAGGCGCGAAAGCGUGGGGAGCAAACAGGGAUUAGAUACCCUGGUAGUCCACGCCGUAAACGAUGAGUGCUAAGUGUUAGGGGGUUUCCGCCCCCUUAGUGCUGCAGCUAACGCAUUAAGCACUCCGCCUGGGGAGUACGGCCGCAAGGCUG